UACAGAGGGUGCAAGCGUUGCUCGGAAUCAUUGGGCGUAAAGGGUAGGUAGGUGGUCUCAUUUGUCUGGGGUGAAAGCCUUGAGCUUAACUCAAGAAGUGCCCCGGAAACGGUGAGACUGGAGUCUUGGAGAGGGUCGUGGAAUUCCCGGUGUAGCGGUGAAAUGCGUAGAGAUCGGGAGGAACACCAGAGGCGAAGGCGGCGACCUGGACAAGCACUGACACUGAACUACGAAAGCGUGGGGAGCAAACAGG
This 253-nucleotide ribosomal RNA is filed under the name uncultured bacterium. RNAcentral describes it as "partial 16S ribosomal RNA". It matches the Rfam family "Bacterial small subunit ribosomal RNA", at positions 524 to 776 of the family's 1533-position model. The record is from RNAcentral.